GUGCUUGCUUUGGAAGCACAUAUACUAACAUUGGAAUGAUACAGAGAAGAUUAGCAUGGUGUGUGUGCAAGGAUGACAUGCAAAUUUAUGAAGCAUUCCAUAUAUUU
This is a small nuclear RNA of Monodelphis domestica (gray short-tailed opossum), 107 nucleotides long. Lineage: Eukaryota; Metazoa; Chordata; Mammalia; Didelphimorphia; Didelphidae. The record is from Ensembl.